AGCCAUCAGAGGCCCAUCUCCCCAAACCCAGAGGACUACAGAGGCACAGAGGCAGGUGGGAGCACAAAUUACUCACUCCCAAGGAACAAACGCUAUGCCCAAGUCUAACUCAGGGCUGCCCCAGCAGAGCCUCAGCUCUAGCAUACAGGUGUGAAACAAUACACAUUGAUCCUAGAGGCACAGAGCUGCAACUCUCUCAGGAUGUCAGAUCCAUCAUGAUGUAUUUUUCUCUAACAGAACCAGGGAAGAUAAAUUGAGAACUGUUAAUUUUGUAGUUUCCUUUUAUCUUCUAUAUCUUAUCGUCUUUUCUUCCCCAUUUUUCAAAAAAUCAUAAUACUUGUGAAAUGCAUCAACAGCUCCACUCAGCUCAGUAGAUGUGGAUUCAAAUAUAUAAAACAGAGAAUAGUUAUUGUUUGUUAUUACCAGCUACACGCUCCAUCAGAAGCUUCUGUUAUCAAUGCUCAAAAGCCCUGAGAAUCCUGGCAGUAGCCUCUGCCCAGUUUCAUUUCCCAGUACACAUAAUGUAAAUACUAUUGCUAUUAUAUGCCAGAAGUGCUAGUCAGUCUUAAGGGCAGGUGUUAUGUUCAUACUGAUUGUACGGGGUUCUAAUUCUAUCAUUACCAGAAAGCAGCUGUUUUCUUAUCAGCUGCUCGGAAAGUCAGCUUCAUUGAAAUCAGUAAAGCAGAGGAUAAUUGUGCCUGCUGGUAUUUUUGAAAGUCUCACCUCCACUUAGAAGCUCUUCUUUUGUCUGUCUCCUGAAUGCCCAGGAUUCAGUAAUCACCACCUUCCAAUAGUUUAAGAUUUUCUUUAAAUAUCAUAAUCAUUUGAAAAUAUUUUUUAUUCUUUUAUCUGCUGACUUUAAAAGCCUUUUGGUAUAUUCAAGUCAUAUUUUCAAACGUCCUUCUGUUAAUAGGAAGAUAAAAGUGUAAAUAUUUUCCUAGCUGAAAGCUGAGAUUCUUUCUUGAACACAUGAUUCACAAAGAGAGUUUUAAGAGCCAGAACAUCAGAUUUUACAGGACUCACAAUGAAGGAUGGUGUCAUGGUGUAGGCUUUAUAUUAAGUAAGUAUAUACACAGGUUUUUUUUUUUGCAGAACUAGGGCCACAGUCACUACAGUUGGGUGUCUCCACCCCAGCCAUGUAUAGAGGAAAGCUAAAAGCAGACAUUAAAUUGAUUAUUUACACAUCUCCCUUCUAAUUCUACAGGAAAAUAUAUAUAUAUCAAAUGAGCAGAAGAUUUGAGAAUUUUUUUUUCUUCCUAUUAAAAAAAAAACAACCAUAGAUGUUCCUACUG
This 1292-nucleotide long non-coding RNA is filed under the name Gallus gallus (chicken). RNAcentral's name for it is "lncRNA (ENSGALG00010004548.1)". Lineage: Eukaryota; Metazoa; Chordata; Aves; Galliformes; Phasianidae. The record is from RNAcentral.